Molecule: ribosomal RNA, 484 nt
Filed under: uncultured bacterium
Lineage: Bacteria
Description: partial 16S ribosomal RNA
Rfam family: Bacterial small subunit ribosomal RNA
Source: RNAcentral
AUUGAACGCUGGCGGCAUGCUUUACACAUGCAAGUCGAACGGCAGCGCGGGCUUCGGCCUGGCGGCGAGUGGCGAACGGGUGAGUAAUACAUCGGAACGUGCCCAGUAGUGGGGGAUAGCUCGGCGAAAGCCGGAUUAAUACCGCAUACGACCUGAGGGUGAAAGCGGGGGAUCUUCGGACCUCGCGCUAUUGGAGCGGCCGAUGGCAGAUUAGCUAGUUGGUGGGGUAAAGGCCUACCAAGGUGACGAUCUGUAGCUGGUCUGAGAGGACGACCAGCCACACUGGGACUGAGACACGGCCCAGACUCCUACGGGAGGCAGCAGUGGGGAAUUUUGGACAAUGGGCGAAAGCCUGAUCCAGCAAUGCCGCGUGUGUGAUGAAGGCCUUCGGGUUGUAAAGCACUUUUGGCGGGAACGAAAAGGACUGUGCCAAUACCACGGUUCGAUGACGGUACCCGCAGAAUAAGCACCGGCUAACUACGUG